GAAAGAUCUCCCAUGCUCAUGGAUUGGCAGGACUAAUUUAGUAAAAAUGGCCAUUUUACCAAAAGCAAUCUACAGAUUCAAUGCAAUCCCCAUCAAAAUACCAAUCCAAUUCUUCAAAGAGUUAGACAGAACAAUUUGCAAAUUCAUCUGGAAUAACAAAAAACCCAGGAUAGCUAAAGCUAUCCUCAACAAUAAAAGGACUUCAGGGGGAAUCACUAUCCCUGAACUCAAGCAGUAUUACAGAGCAAUAGUGAUAAAAACUGCAUGGUAUUGGUACAGAGACAGACAGAUAGACCAAUGGAAUAGAAUUGAAGACCCAGAAAUG
RNAcentral lists this long non-coding RNA (325 nucleotides) under Rattus norvegicus (Norway rat). RNAcentral describes it as "long non-coding RNA NONRATT013677". Lineage: Eukaryota; Metazoa; Chordata; Mammalia; Rodentia; Muridae. The record is from RNAcentral.